This 253-nucleotide ribosomal RNA is filed under the name uncultured bacterium. RNAcentral describes it as "partial 16S ribosomal RNA". It matches the Rfam family "Bacterial small subunit ribosomal RNA", at positions 524 to 776 of the family's 1533-position model. The record is from RNAcentral.
GACGAGUCUCACGAACGUUAUUCGGAAUUACUGGGCUUAAAGGGUGCGUAGGCGGUGGAGUAAGUCGGGUGUGAAAUACCUUCGCUCAACGAGGGAACUGCACUUGAUACUACUUUGCUAGAGUAAGACAGAGGUGAGUGGAACUGAGGGUGGAGCGGUGAAAUGCGUUGAUAUCCUCAGGAACACCGGUGGCGAAGGCGACUCACUGGGUCUUUACUGACGCUGAUGCACGAAAGCUAGGGUAGCAAACGGG